RNAcentral lists this ribosomal RNA (431 nucleotides) under uncultured bacterium. RNAcentral's name for it is "partial 16S ribosomal RNA". It matches the Rfam family "Bacterial small subunit ribosomal RNA", at positions 354 to 796 of the family's 1533-position model. The record is from RNAcentral.
GUGGGGAAUAUUGCACAAUGGGCGAAAGCCUGAUGCAGCGACGCCGCGUGCGGGAUGAAGGCUCUAGGGUUGUAAACCGCUUUCAGCAGGGAUGAGGCCGCAAGGUGACAGUACCUGCAGAAGAAGCCCCGGCUAACUACGUGCCAGCAGCCGCGGUAAUACGUAGGGGGCAAGCGUUAUCCGGAUUCAUUGGGCGUAAAGCGCGCGUAGGCGGUCUGUUAGGUCGGGAGUAAAAUCCAGGGGCUCAACCCCUGUCCGCUUCCGAUACCGGCAGACUUGAGUUUGGUAGGGGAAGGUGGAAUUCCCAGUGUAGCGGUGGAAUGCGCAGAUAUUGGGAAGAACACCGGUGGCGAAGGCGGCCUUCUGGGCCAUAACUGACGCUGAGGCGCGAAAGCUAGGGGAGCGAACAGGAUUAGAAACCCCAGUAGUCC